ACGGGGCAUUGCCUUAGUAGCGGCGAGUGAAGCGGCAAAAGCUCAAAUUUGAAAUCUGGCACUUUCAGUGUCCGAGUUGUAAUUUGAAGAAGGUAUCUUUGGGUCUGGCUCUUGUCUAUGUUUCUUGGAACAGAACGUCACAGAGGGUGAGAAUCCCGUGCGAUGAGAUGUCCCAGACCUAUGUAAAGUUCCUUCGAAGAGUCGAGUUGUUUGGGAAUGCAGCUCUAAGUGGGUGGUAAAUUCCAUCUAAAGCUAAAUAUUGGCGAGAGACCGAUAGCGAACAAGUACAGUGAUGGAAAGAUGAAAAGAACUUUGAAAAGAGAGUGAAAAAGUACGUGAAAUUGUUGAAAGGGAAGGGCUUGAGAUCAGACUUGGUAUUUUGUAUGUUACUCUCUCGGGGGUGGCCUCUACAGUUUACCGGGCCAGCAUCAGUUUGAGCGGUAGGAUAAGUGCAAAGAAAUGUGGCACUGCUUCGGUAGUGUGUUAUAGUCUUUGUCGAUACUGCCAGCUUAGACUGAGGACUGCGGCUUCGGCCUAGGAUGUUGGCAUAAUGAUCUUAAGUCGCCCGUCUUGAAMMMCGGAACCAAAA
RNAcentral lists this ribosomal RNA (589 nucleotides) under Lodderomyces parapsilosis. RNAcentral describes it as "Candida parapsilosis partial large subunit ribosomal RNA". It matches the Rfam family "Eukaryotic large subunit ribosomal RNA", at positions 68 to 672 of the family's 3401-position model. The record is from RNAcentral. Lineage: Eukaryota; Fungi; Ascomycota; Pichiomycetes; Serinales; Debaryomycetaceae.